Long non-coding RNA from Scylla paramamosain (green mud crab), 1458 nucleotides. RefSeq lists it as uncharacterized. The record is from RefSeq and is a predicted model, not a curated record. The transcript is spliced from 5 exons. Lineage: Eukaryota; Metazoa; Arthropoda; Malacostraca; Decapoda; Portunidae.
AUUAUUUAGCAGGUGACUUGUUUGUUCUUUGGAUCUGGUGCAGUUCUUGCCUUUACCACUCGUCUGUAUUUCCGACAUAGGAGGAAAAAUAAGUGGGACUAAUUUCCCGACCAUGUCGGUGUCAUCAAACAAGUGUUGGAUGUCACCUUUCGUCCUUUCACUUUUUUUUUUUUUCUUCAUAUAAACAUGGUGAAUAUGAACAGCGCCGCAGUUUAGCAGAGAGGCGUUCGUCAGAGGUUCUGUUCUAUCCUUUUCAUAAUAUUACACUCUGAAAUUUCACAAAAUAAGUUUAAUUCCUUAUAAUGUUCGCUGUAUCAGUAUGAGAGCAAUAACAAAAUAUCGAGAUGAUGAAAGGAGGCCCAAGCUGUGCUACUGGCGGCCACCAGAGGGCUCUCACGGCUUUCAUGUUCAGCCACAGAAAGAUUCCAGAAACCUCGAGGGACGUCAGUGUGCGUGUUCCUCCGCCACCUGUCCGCCUAACCUGCCGCCUCCCCUCCCUUGGACGCCCCUUGCUAUGCCAAAUCUCCAGCAUCGUAUCCCUUCUGCAGGAAACACAGCACCAUCGCCACUGACCCUAAUGGUCCCUUAGAGGUGCUGCCUGUGCUCCUGUGCUGGCGGUGGUGUGGCCCUGUUGAUAAAAAGGAAUCGGGCCACACGCAGAUACUCGCAGUGGCUUUUAAUUGUUGCAGGUGAAGACCCAGGCCGGGCGGAGCGUGGCGGACGGCAGGAGAAGCAUGCGGUAAUGGUUAUGAGUGGACUUGCUACGCUGUGCACUGUGAGACUUGUGGCGGCUUUUGCGGGGCAGCCUGAGCACAAUUGGCAGCGGUGAAGGCUUGAAUUAUGAACUUUAUCGUAGGUUUAUAGUCGUGACUGCCCUGGUGUGCGUAGGUGGGCGAGAAAGCUAUUUUUAUUUCGUAUUUUCUUUCGUGUAAUGUUUUGUGUGUGGUGUGACAGUAUGUGAAUGAAAAUGAGUGUGCAACUGAAAAAGGGUGUGUAUAUAUUUGUGUAGUGCUCGUUCGUGAUUGAAUGGAAAUAGAAAACUGUGUGUGUGUAAGCGUGCAAAUAGUGUUUAUAUUUGUGUUCCGUGCGCCGAUUUCGUUCGUGAAUUACAAAAAAGUGCAUCGUUGACCAAGCAGUGUGUGCUUGUUUUUCUAGUGGUGUGUUCAUUUCAGACCGAAAAUGCAAGUGAUCUAGAAGUGUUUGUUUCCGUCUAGUGGUGUGUUGUGUUGCGUUCAUCGUGAUAAGCCAGCGGUCUGCUUCCUCCUCCUUCCAUCACGUCGAGGAAGGUAAAGCGUGUGUGCAGUGCAGGGGCUUCCUUUGUCUCGGGUGAAGAAAGUGACUGACUACCCCACGUAUAUUUAGCAGUAAUGUAUAAGGUAAAGUCAAAUACUGUUAGUUUAAUUCUCUCUCUCUCUCUCUCUCUCUCUCUCUCUCUCUCUCUCUCUCUCUCUCUCUCUC